AGAGUUUGAUCCUGGCUCAGGAUGAACGCUAGCGGGAGGCCUAACACAUGCAAGCCGAGCGGUAUUGUUUCUUCGGAAAUGAGAGAGCGGCGUACGGGUGCGGAACACGUGUGCAACCUGCCUUUAUCUGGGGGAUAGCCUUUCGAAAGGAAGAUUAAUACUCCAUAAUAUAUUGAACGGCAUCGUUUAAUAUUGAAAGCUCCGGCGGAUAGAGAUGGGCACGCGCAAGAUUAGCUAGUUGGUGAGGUAACGGCUCACCAAGGCAAUGAUCUUUAGGGGCCUGAGAGGGUGAUCCCCCACACUGGUACUGAGACACGGACCAGACUCCUACGGGAGGCAGCAGUGAGGAAUAUUGGUCAAUGGGUGCAAGCCUGAACCAGCCAUCCCGCGUGAAGGACGACUGCCCUAUGGGUUGUAAACUUCUUUUGUAUAGGGAUAAACCUACCCUCGUGAGGGUAGCUGAAGGUACUAUACGAAUAAGCACCGGCUAACUCCGUG
RNAcentral lists this ribosomal RNA (498 nucleotides) under uncultured bacterium. RNAcentral describes it as "bacterial SSU rRNA". It matches the Rfam family "Bacterial small subunit ribosomal RNA", at positions 8 to 507 of the family's 1533-position model. The record is from RNAcentral.